UACGGGGGGGGGCAAGCGUUGUUCGGAAUUACUGGGCGUAAAGGGCUCGUAGGCGGCCAACUAAGUCCGACGUGAAAUCCCCAGGCUUAACCUGGGAACUGCGUCGGAUACUGGAUGGCUUGAAUUCGGGAGAGGGAUGCAGAAUUCCAGGUGUAGCGGUGAAAUGCGCAGAUAUCAGGAGGAACACCGGUGGCGAAGGCGGGUCUCUGGGCCGAUACUGACACUGAGGAGCGAAAGCGUGGGGAGCGAACAGG
This 254-nucleotide ribosomal RNA is filed under the name uncultured bacterium. RNAcentral describes it as "partial 16S ribosomal RNA". It matches the Rfam family "Bacterial small subunit ribosomal RNA", at positions 524 to 776 of the family's 1533-position model. The record is from RNAcentral.